CCUACGGGUGGCAGCAGUGGGGAAUAUUGCACAAUGGGGGGAACCCUGAUGCAGCGACGCCGCGUGGGUGAAGGAGUAUUUCGGUAUGUAAAGCCCUAUCAGCAGGGAAGAACAAUGACGGUACCUGACUAAGAAGCACCGGCUAAAUACGUGCCAGCAGCCGCGGUAAUACGUAUGGUGCAAGCGUUAUCCGGAUUUACUGGGUGUAAGGGGAGCGCAGGCGGCUCGUUAAGCCUGGUGGGAAAGUCCGCGGCCCAACCGCGGGACUGCAUUGGGAACUGGCGCGCUGGAGGGCCGGGGGGGUAGGCGGAAUUCCUCGUGUAGCGGUGAAAUGCGUAGAUAGUAGGAGGAACACCAGUGGCGAAGGCGGCCUACUGGACGGUGACUGACGCUGAGGCUCGAAAGCGUGGGGAGCAAACAGGAUUAGAUACCCCAGUAGUC
RNAcentral lists this ribosomal RNA (441 nucleotides) under uncultured bacterium. RNAcentral describes it as "partial 16S ribosomal RNA". It matches the Rfam family "Bacterial small subunit ribosomal RNA", at positions 338 to 795 of the family's 1533-position model. The record is from RNAcentral.